GGAAAUCCACAGAUUUAGAACUAACCUUUAAGAAGAAGAAUUAUAUUCUUGAAGUAAAUGAUGCUUGCUCAAAGGGCAUCUAAUGAGGCAAAAACAAGCCUACCUAUGUUGGCCACCACCUUUUGUAACACAGUCGGUACUACUAAUGGAAACUGUCACCACUUAAAGAGAUUCAAGCUCACCCUUUUCAGUCAUAACAUGCUUUGCCCCCUGCCCCCCAACAAAGCUAGCAGAGAAAGCCUAUUAAUGAACCCACAUAAAGAACCACAGCAAGAAAAAUGUUUGUUGUUUAUGAAAAUGAAGGCCAGUCGCAUCUUGUUUGCUGCACAAGUCUGUUUCAGAGAUAUAAAUGUGAUUAAAAUAACAAUUGCACAUGCUAAAAAUUACUGUGAUGAUGGGGAAAGCGCAGGUACUCAUCAGGUUAAAAGAACAAGGAGAAAGACCUGACCACAAACACAUCCAUUGCUAGUUCCUUGAAUUUUGUGUGAAGGUAGAAGUAUCCCACCAAUCACCAAUUUCCCACCGUCUGCACUUCUUUCCUCCCAGGACUAAGAGGCUGAUAGCUAGCAAGGACCACCACUACAGCAGAAGUAGAUUUCUCAGGGAGAGAGAGAUGAUCACCCUACUGGGAAACUGGAGCUACAAAAGCCAGGUUUAAAGAAAUGGGAAUUGUCCUUUCCUCUCUGCCUCUUCCUAGCAGUGCAAGUGCAACAAGUUGCAGAAGCUUUUUCCUGUACAAGUGAAAUAAAACUAAGAGCAAAGGAAGGGUAGUUUAGUUUGGACUCAUACUUAACUCUAAGGCUAGUCAACCCUGGGAAAGACUUGCUUAUGGGAUACAACACAGGAUACGCUAGUUACAUCAACAAGAGAUGGCUUACACUCUUGAAAGGUUGCACAACAGAUGGUGAGGAAAAAAAAACCAAACAAACUAACAGGAUGACACUGACACUAGGGGCAAAGACCUUGUUAGACUUUUGAACGUUUUGCUUGUAUCUGUCCUGGCUGGGUUCGGUGGUUACGUUCACCGUACACCCUUUUAUGCAGGUUUUUGUAAAGCUCCCGAUUUGCACUGGCAAGCGUGUGUGUGCACGGACGGCAGAGGACGAGAAAGCCCAGCAGAGGCUACAGCCAGAAAAGCUGAAGGUAAGACAUCUUGCUCAAUUCUGAAUCCAGUGGAACUGGGAGUCAAGCACCACGGCAAUAUCUCACAGCUGGUCUAGGCUCUGGGGGUGCAGUUCUUUCUGACUGGCUUCUUCCUCCUGUGAACAAGAAGAAAGUGUGACCUGCAAUGUCAGCAAGCUACCAGGAAGUCUAGCAACACUCCAAGAGAGGCAAGGGCUUUCUGCACAUCAGAGAUCUGCUCCUUCUUCAGCUUCAGCCUCGUGAGUGUCCGGUUGUAGCUCUGGUACCGAAGAUACAGACCCAGAAUCACGCACACAGCACAGUGAAAAGUAGAACAGAGCAGACAAUGCGAUACAGUUAUGUUCAGAGACGAAGGAAUCCAACCAUCUCAUGAGAGACUUGUUGAGGAACCGGCACAAAAGGUGCUUUCUGCAGACCAAGAUGUAAGGACUGCUUCAGUAAGCAACCCUACAUGUCUCCAAUCUGUCAAGAGAAAUCUGCUUGAGGAGGAAAAGGUGAAGAGAGAGUGAAAGACAUUUUAGCUAAGGACAGAUAGAAAUUGACCUAUAAAAACUUGUUACCAUGAUGUACAACUUAGCAAUAAGUUUUCAUAAACAUCUGUACAAAGACAUAUUUACUCACACACAUUUCCUAACGCAUUAGAGUGCUGUUGUUACAUCCAUGUACCCGUGCAGUGGCCUUCAGUGGGGACUUCACUGGCUGGCUGCAAAUUCACAGGGACUGUGCAAGUGCAACUCCACUUGAGCAGAAAGAAGCAGGUAUAGGACUAAGUUAUCAGGUCCCUUACAAGAUAAUAUUGAUUUUUCCUCUUUUUAGAAUAUAGAGCUAAAUUUUCUUGAUCUCUAAAUCCAGUUUUGAUUACAAAGAACCUUUACUGUCACUCUGCCGGGUGUUGUUUUCUUAAGGCUUCAUUGUGAUACAUGCAGCUGUUCAGAUCCAUGUGUGGGCAUGUUACCACACACACAUGCAGCAAACAUGCUCUGUGUUCCUAGGAACUGUCUGGGCCAACUGGCAUUGCUGGGAGAAAGUCUGCCUUUGACACACCGUGGGCAGUGAUGAGCACCACACCUAAAAAAAAACAGAAGCGCCUGAGGAGGACCAGCUUCAAAACAAACGUUAUUUCCUCCUGUGCAAUGAAACCAGCUCUGGGGAGGCAACCAACCCACAGUUUACUCCCAGAGGUGACCCACGCUUGUCACAAGUCCGGGAGCUUCCAUCAAGGGGUUCAAGGAGUCACUUCUCAUAGGCUGGGCUGCUGUCAGGGGCAGGAUGUUUGGAUACAGGCUGCUCCUUUGACCCAGAUUUAUCACAGCCAGCAAGAAGAGGGACACACAGUCUAUGUCCUGUGGCAUAUCACAAGCAAACACCUGCCACUGGCCCUACAAAGAUAAAGCAGGACUCAGACCAAAGAUUUUUUCCCCAAUCCAGCUAUCUGCCACAUGCAAGAGAGUCACUGUAUACACAGAGUGCUCACACAGUGUACUCUGUGAACACAGCAGGCUGUGAGCUUGUGUUGAGUAAGUGUGAUGAGAAGAAGGAAUGCUCAUCCCUCUUGGUUUUUAGGGAAUGUUGCAUUAAUAUAUGGGCUAACAUGUAGGGAAAAAAAUAGCAGGAUGCAUCAUAUGUGAGAUUGUAUUUUCCAUCACCUUUGUUAACAGAUGCAAGCAUGAUGGAGAACUACAGUGCAACACCCAGCUUUCUGUUGGAAUAGCAUAAUUCAUAAAAUGGGAGACUAGUGAAAGAAGGUCUCUGUUGUGGAAUUGUUUCCCUCCUCCAGAACUCGUGUCGCUGCUGGAGUUCCCACUUUUAGAUGCACCAGCACUUUUUAAUGUAUUUAUUCUCCAAAGCGUAGGUAAAGCCUGUAGUUUUUUUCGUCUAUUCACUGAAAUAUUGUUUGGUUUCAUUAGCUAUUAUUUAUACUUCAGUGCUUUUCAUCUACUUACUCCUCAGUUACACACUUAUGAGUUUAGUAAAGCACUUAAAGUCCCUAUUGUGACCACCUAGGUUUGCUGAGCAGUUCUUAGCAUAUGGCUACAAACCG
Cyanistes caeruleus (blue tit) is the source of this 3184-nucleotide long non-coding RNA. RefSeq lists it as uncharacterized. Lineage: Eukaryota; Metazoa; Chordata; Aves; Passeriformes; Paridae. The record is from RefSeq and is a predicted model, not a curated record.